AACGAACGCUGGCGGCAUGCCUAACACAUGCAAGUCGAACGAGACCUUCGGGUCUAGUGGCGCACGGGUGCGUAACGCGUGGGAACCUGCCCUUAGGUUCGGAAUAACUCCCCGAAAGGGGUGCUAAUACCGGAUAAUGUCUUCGGACCAAAGAUUUAUCGCCUUUGGAUGGGCCCGCGUUGGAUUAGCUAGUUGGUAGGGUAAAAGCCUACCAAGGCGACGAUCCAUAGCUGGUCUGAGAGGAUGAUCAGCCACACUGGGACUGAGACACGGCCCAGACUCCUACGGGAGGCAGCAGUGGGGAAUAUUGGAAAAUGGGCGAAAGCCUGAUCCAGCAAUGACGCGUGAGUGAUGAAGGCAUUAGGGUUGUAAAGCUCUUUUACCCGGGAUGAUAAUGACAGUACCGGGAGAAUAAGCUCCGGCUAACUCCGUG
RNAcentral lists this ribosomal RNA (433 nucleotides) under uncultured bacterium. RNAcentral describes it as "partial 16S ribosomal RNA". It matches the Rfam family "Bacterial small subunit ribosomal RNA", at positions 29 to 507 of the family's 1533-position model. The record is from RNAcentral.